Molecule: ribosomal RNA, 253 nt
Filed under: uncultured bacterium
Lineage: Bacteria
Description: partial 16S ribosomal RNA
Rfam family: Bacterial small subunit ribosomal RNA
Source: RNAcentral
UACAUGGGGUGCAAACGUUGCUCGGAAUUAUUGGGCGUAAAGCGCACGUAGGCGGUUUGUUAAGUCGGAUGUGAAAUCCCUCGGCUCAACUGAGGAAGUGCACCCGAAACUGGCAGGCUUGAGUACUAAAGAGGGUCGCGGAAUUCCCGGUGUAGAGGUGAAAUUCGUAGAUAUCGGGAGGAACACCAGUGGCGAAGGCGGCUCACUGGCCCGGUACUGACGCUGAGGUGCGAAAGCGUGGGGAGCAAACAGG